GGGUCAGUAGGUUGGUCGUGCCACCGGUACGUACUGGUCUCACUGAUUCCUCCUUCCUGAAGAACCGUAAUGCCAUUAAUUUGGUGUUGCGGGGAAACAGGACUGUUACCUUGAAAAAAUUAGAGUGUUUAAAGCAAGCUAACGCUUGAAUACAUUAGCAUGGAAUAAUGAAAUAGGACGAUCGAUCCUAUUUUGUUGGUUUCCAGGAUUGACGUA
Molecule: ribosomal RNA, 216 nt
Filed under: Glomeromycotina sp.
Lineage: Eukaryota; Fungi; Glomeromycota
Description: partial small subunit ribosomal RNA
Rfam family: Eukaryotic small subunit ribosomal RNA (bases 44-216)
Source: RNAcentral